This 255-nucleotide ribosomal RNA is filed under the name uncultured bacterium. RNAcentral describes it as "partial 16S ribosomal RNA". It matches the Rfam family "Bacterial small subunit ribosomal RNA", at positions 524 to 776 of the family's 1533-position model. The record is from RNAcentral.
UACGUAGGGGGCAAGCGUUGUCCGGAAUCAUUGGCGUAAAGAGCGUGUAGGCGGCCCGAUAAGUCCGCCGUGAAAGUCCAGGGCUCAACCCUGGAAUGCCGGUGGAAACUGUCGGGCUGGAGUCCGGAAGAGGCGAGUGGAAGUUCCUGGUGAUAGCGGUGAAAUGCGUAGAUAUCAGGAGGAAUACCGGUGGCGAAAGCGACUCUCUGGACGGCAACUGACGCUGAGGCACGAAAAGCGUGGGGAGCAAACAGG